AUGGCAUCUUCCACUCUGAAAACAGGUGUGCCUGUCACUCUGCAAGAGCUAGAGCCCUCCUCGGAGAUGUUCAAGCAAGGAGCAUCCAUUCGAGUAACUGGAAUCAUUCAGUCAUACGAUGUGGACUCUGCAGUUGUUGUCAUUCGAGAUGGCAGCGCGACGCUGAAGAUCGACACCCAACACCUGAGGGACAUUGGUUUCCAGUCCACUGCGCCUUUCAUCGGCGUCGGCGAGCUCCUGAUCCGGCCAAACGACGACAGCGAUUCUGCAAGCACGUGUGGCAGGAACGUCGAUGGCCUUGACCUGAACCUUUAUCGCAGUUGCAUGAAGCCAGACUGCUGA
Molecule: ribosomal RNA, 342 nt
Filed under: Triticum aestivum (bread wheat)
Lineage: Eukaryota; Viridiplantae; Streptophyta; Magnoliopsida; Poales; Poaceae
Description: partial small subunit ribosomal RNA
Source: RNAcentral